Molecule: unclassified non-coding RNA, 325 nt
Filed under: Hevea brasiliensis (rubber tree)
Lineage: Eukaryota; Viridiplantae; Streptophyta; Magnoliopsida; Malpighiales; Euphorbiaceae
Source: RNAcentral
UUUUUUCUCCUUUCUCAGGAUAAAUUACAAGUUCCUUGAGAAAACACACUUGGCUUCUAGCUACAUAUUUGCCAUCAGAGGCAUCAAAUCCAGCACAUUAGUGAUAAUGAAAAGUUCCCUUCUUUUUGCUCUCCUCUCUUCUCUUUCCCAUCAAUGUCAUGAAACCAGAGUCAAAUUACACAAAUUCUCAGUCAGCUUGCCCAGGGCUCCUGUUAGCAUCACCAUCAUCAAGCUGGACCCAUAAGCUUCGGCUUCUUUCCCCUCCACUUUCCCACGGUUGUUGCCUCACACUCCUAUCAUUUGUAUCAUCCCCAUCUGAAAACUG